AGUUCGCGAGGACAGCAAAUCUCCUAAACCGUGGCUCAGUUCAGAUCGUAGGCUGCAACUCGCCUACGUGAAGGAGGAAUCGCUAGUAAUCGCAGGUCAGCAUACUGCGGUGAAUACGUUCCCGGGCCUUGUACACACCGCCCGUCACACCAUGGAAGUUGGCCACGCCCGAAGCCGUUACUCCAACCCUUGUGGAGGAGGACGUCGAAGGUGGGGCUGAUGACUGGGGUGAAGUCGUAACAAGGUAGCCGUACCGGAAGGUGCGGCUGGAUCACCUCCUAAC
RNAcentral lists this ribosomal RNA (283 nucleotides) under uncultured Synechococcus sp. RNAcentral's name for it is "partial 16S ribosomal RNA". It matches the Rfam family "Bacterial small subunit ribosomal RNA", at positions 1252 to 1533 of the family's 1533-position model. The record is from RNAcentral. Lineage: Bacteria; Bacillati; Cyanobacteriota; Cyanophyceae; Synechococcales; Synechococcaceae.